RNAcentral lists this ribosomal RNA (2787 nucleotides) under Escherichia coli. RNAcentral's name for it is "bacterial LSU rRNA". It matches the Rfam family "Bacterial large subunit ribosomal RNA". The record is from RNAcentral. Lineage: Bacteria; Pseudomonadati; Pseudomonadota; Gammaproteobacteria; Enterobacterales; Enterobacteriaceae.
AGCGUACACGGUGGAUGCCCUGGCAGUCAGAGGCGAUGAAGGACGUGCUAAUCUGCGAUAAGCGUCGGUAAGGUGAUAUGAACCGUUAUAACCGGCGAUUUCCGAAUGGGGAAACCCAGUGUGAUUCGUCACACUAUCAUUAACUGAAUCCAUAGGUUAAUGAGGCGAACCGGGGGAACUGAAACAUCUAAGUACCCCGAGGAAAAGAAAUCAACCGAGAUUCCCCCAGUAGCGGCGAGCGAACGGGGAGCAGCCCAGAGCCUGAAUCAGUGUGUGUGUUAGUGGAAGUGUCUGGAAAGGCGCGCGAUACAGGGUGACAGCCCCGUACACAAAAAUGCACAUGCUGUGAGCUCGAUGAGUAGGGCGGGACACGUGGUAUCCUGUCUGAAUAUGGGGGGACCAUCCUCCAAGGCUAAAUACUCCUGACUGACCGAUAGUGAACCAGUACCGUGAGGGAAAGGCGAAAAGAACCCCGGCGAGGGGAGUGAAAAAGAACCUGAAACCGUGUACGUACAAGCAGUGGGAGCACGCUUAGGCGUGUGACUGCGUACCUUUUGUAUAAUGGGUCAGCGACUUAUAUUCUGUAGCAAGGUUAACCGAAUAGGGGAGCCGAAGGGAAACCGAGUCUUAACUGGGCGUUAAGUUGCAGGGUAUAGACCCGAAACCCGGUGAUCUAGCCAUGGGCAGGUUGAAGGUUGGGUAACACUAACUGGAGGACCGAACCGACUAAUGUUGAAAAAUUAGCGGAUGACUUGUGGCUGGGGGUGAAAGGCCAAUCAAACCGGGAGAUAGCUGGUUCUCCCCGAAAGCUAUUUAGGUAGCGCCUCGUGAAUUCAUCUCCGGGGGUAGAGCACUGUUUCGGCAAGGGGGUCAUCCCGACUUACCAACCCGAUGCAAACUGCGAAUACCGGAGAAUGUUAUCACGGGAGACACACGGCGGGUGCUAACGUCCGUCGUGAAGAGGGAAACAACCCAGACCGCCAGCUAAGGUCCCAAAGUCAUGGUUAAGUGGGAAACGAUGUGGGAAGGCCCAGACAGCCAGGAUGUUGGCUUAGAAGCAGCCAUCAUUUAAAGAAAGCGUAAUAGCUCACUGGUCGAGUCGGCCUGCGCGGAAGAUGUAACGGGGCUAAACCAUGCACCGAAGCUGCGGCAGCGACGCUUAUGCGUUGUUGGGUAGGGGAGCGUUCUGUAAGCCUGCGAAGGUGUGCUGUGAGGCAUGCUGGAGGUAUCAGAAGUGCGAAUGCUGACAUAAGUAACGAUAAAGCGGGUGAAAAGCCCGCUCGCCGGAAGACCAAGGGUUCCUGUCCAACGUUAAUCGGGGCAGGGUGAGUCGACCCCUAAGGCGAGGCCGAAAGGCGUAGUCGAUGGGAAACAGGUUAAUAUUCCUGUACUUGGUGUUACUGCGAAGGGGGGACGGAGAAGGCUAUGUUGGCCGGGCGACGGUUGUCCCGGUUUAAGCGUGUAGGCUGGUUUUCCAGGCAAAUCCGGAAAAUCAAGGCUGAGGCGUGAUGACGAGGCACUACGGUGCUGAAGCAACAAAUGCCCUGCUUCCAGGAAAAGCCUCUAAGCAUCAGGUAACAUCAAAUCGUACCCCAAACCGACACAGGUGGUCAGGUAGAGAAUACCAAGGCGCUUGAGAGAACUCGGGUGAAGGAACUAGGCAAAAUGGUGCCGUAACUUCGGGAGAAGGCACGCUGAUAUGUAGGUGAAGUCCCUCGCGGAUGGAGCUGAAAUCAGUCGAAGAUACCAGCUGGCUGCAACUGUUUAUUAAAAACACAGCACUGUGCAAACACGAAAGUGGACGUAUACGGUGUGACGCCUGCCCGGUGCCGGAAGGUUAAUUGAUGGGGUUAGCGCAAGCGAAGCUCUUGAUCGAAGCCCCGGUAAACGGCGGCCGUAACUAUAACGGUCCUAAGGUAGCGAAAUUCCUUGUCGGGUAAGUUCCGACCUGCACGAAUGGCGUAAUGAUGGCCAGGCUGUCUCCACCCGAGACUCAGUGAAAUUGAACUCGCUGUGAAGAUGCAGUGUACCCGCGGCAAGACGGAAAGACCCCGUGAACCUUUACUAUAGCUUGACACUGAACAUUGAGCCUUGAUGUGUAGGAUAGGUGGGAGGCUUUGAAGUGUGGACGCCAGUCUGCAUGGAGCCGACCUUGAAAUACCACCCUUUAAUGUUUGAUGUUCUAACGUGGACCCGUAAUCCGGGUUGCGGACAGUGUCUGGUGGGUAGUUUGACUGGGGCGGUCUCCUCCUAAAGAGUAACGGAGGAGCACGAAGGUUGGCUAAUCCUGGUCGGACAUCAGGAGGUUAGUGCAAUGGCAUAAGCCAGCUUGACUGCGAGCGUGACGGCGCGAGCAGGUGCGAAAGCAGGUCAUAGUGAUCCGGUGGUUCUGAAUGGAAGGGCCAUCGCUCAACGGAUAAAAGGUACUCCGGGGAUAACAGGCUGAUACCGCCCAAGAGUUCAUAUCGACGGCGGUGUUUGGCACCUCGAUGUCGGCUCAUCACAUCCUGGGGCUGAAGUAGGUCCCAAGGGUAUGGCUGUUCGCCAUUUAAAGUGGUACGCGAGCUGGGUUUAGAACGUCGUGAGACAGUUCGGUCCCUAUCUGCCGUGGGCGCUGGAGAACUGAGGGGGGCUGCUCCUAGUACGAGAGGACCGGAGUGGACGCAUCACUGGUGUUCGGGUUGUCAUGCCAAUGGCACUGCCCGGUAGCUAAAUGCGGAAGAGAUAAGUGCUGAAAGCAUCUAAGCACGAAACUUGCCCCGAGAUGAGUUCUCCCUGACUCCUUGA